Molecule: long non-coding RNA, 1948 nt
Filed under: Sorghum bicolor (sorghum)
Lineage: Eukaryota; Viridiplantae; Streptophyta; Magnoliopsida; Poales; Poaceae
Description: long non-coding RNA (SBIC_LNC008711)
Source: RNAcentral
GCAGGUACAGCCUCGCAGUAGACACCGACAGGCCGGGCUUCCUCCGAUCUACACCUCCACUCUAUCUCUCUCAAUCUAGUAGAACUUAGAAGAACUAAUUCUACUAGCAUUGGAUGCUAAGCCCUAAGUCUAUGUAGAAGAAAGGUUAUCCUUCGAGGGCACCUCUCAACUCUAUGAUGAACUUGUUCUCCUCCAGGGGCCAGGGGGUCUACUUACAUAGUCCCCUCAGGUAAACGUGGGCCGUCGGAUCAAACUAACAUUAAUUGAAUGGUUAUCCUUAAUCCUUUAGGUCGGUGAAGCAUAAUCCGCGAGAUUGGACGUGAUUGGCCAACUCCAGGGUGGGCGCCCUAGGGGGGAGGGCGGGCGCCCUGCCCCCGGGCCCGAUCGCCUCCCCGUUCGUUCCCGUGGCUUCUGGAGUCUUCUAGAUGGUAGAAAAUUGUGCGGUGCGUUAAUAUCUCUAUGUAAUCCCGACAUAUGGGCCUUUCUUCCUUAUUUCCUGAUAACCCCCUAUAUAAACAGAUAAACAACAAAACUCGUGGAAUUCUAUCAGAUCAAACCCUAAUUCAUUGUGUACUAUAGUUAGGGAAAUAUAUGGUCAAGAGUAGAGAUCCUUUCUUCUUAAUCCUGUUACUUGGAGUUUUUGUAUAUUUUUGAAAAGAAAUUUAGCAUACCUUUAUCCUCAUAGGUUCUCUCAGGUCACUCAUUAUCUUUUGUAUAUCUCACUGAGGUUGUUUUAAUUUGCUAAAAUUCUCAAGCAUACUUACCUUGCAUUUAUUGCCUGAUCAAAAUGGGAUCCGAGGAGAAGAAUGUCAUGCUCUUAGAUCAAAGACUUUAAAAUUUAAAAACUUGUCAACUCUUGCUGGCAUAUUGCUUAUUAGAGGGACCAUGGGCUAUCAUUUUCUUCAUUUUCUCUCUUUUCUUUUUUUUUCAGGUGGCUACCGAGGUACCCAUAAUUCUACUACCAGACACUUGUCCAUUUUUUCUGCGAGGUUGUCGAGCACUUGCUCCUUUUUAUUUCCUCGAAAUAUCCUUAUUUUUGCAUAGCCCAUGCCUCUAACGCAAUAAUACUUCAGAAGAGUGAAUCUUUCUGAAUAUGUGUCUUGAUCUUAGGAGCAUGAUAAAUCUCUCAACAAGGGUCUAACUCAUUUUGAACAAACUCAAUACAGAGUAGAUAGCUUUUAUCAUAUUAAUAUUUUUAGGUUUAUCAGGCAUAUAAAACACUGUGGGUGGUAGCUAGAGUUUUUGAAUAAAUUCUCCAAGCAACAAUGAUAUCAAGAGUAAGGUACUCAUACUCUACCAUCUUACAUUCCACAGUGACAUAAGCAGCACAGGGUUUUAAAUUGUUUUUUCAAUAAUUGCAAGCUUUCAGGAAAUAUCACAGAGUGAGAUUAAUCAUGAUUAGAAACAUUAUAACCUUUUUAAUUUAUCAUGUCAGAGACAAUAUUCUGCAUAAUCGAAGGUAUAUGUGUAUGUGUAAAGUGUGCAGAGUAUGUACCUGAAUUGUGGAGUGGUGUAGUCGAAGUGUGUUUGGCAUGUCGAGGGAUCUCCCCCAUAAUUGUUUUCUGCUUUCUUGCGUAAAGAUAAACUAGAGACACAAAAGACAUAAUAAUAAUAAUACUCUUUAUUAAUCUUGAGGCAUUUAUUACAAAUGACUAGUAAUGAACUGAGCUAAUAAUAGAUCUAAACCGAAUUUAAAGAUAAAUAACUAAGAUGCAUUGCCUCAUGAUCUAAUUUAGAUAGCUUAGCGGCGCUCUAACUCCCUGAUCUUCUUAUUGGCACUAGCAAGAUCAUGCCUAAGACCUAGUAUCACGGUUUUAUGGUUAGAGAGCUGCCUAGUGAUAGAGUUAACCGAGGACUGGAUGUCUAUGAUGACUCUGUCUAGCCUACGAACGUCCUCAUCAAUAUCUAUUAUAGUCUUGCGACGCUUAGGAGGUGUCUCGAGAGCAGU